UACGGAGGGUGCAAGCGUUGUUCGGAUUUACUGGGCGUAAAGCGCGCGCAGGUGGGUGAACAAGUCGGAAGUGAAAUCUUGAGGCUCAACCUCGAGGCUGCUCCCGAAACUGUUCGUCUAGGGACUGGUAGAGGCUGGUAGAAUUCCCGGUGUAGCGGUGGAAUGCGUAGAGAUCGGGAAGAAUACCUGUGGCGAAGGCGGCCAGCUGGGCCAGAUCCGACACUGAGGCGCGAAAGCGUGGGGAGCAAACAGG
RNAcentral lists this ribosomal RNA (253 nucleotides) under uncultured bacterium. RNAcentral describes it as "partial 16S ribosomal RNA". It matches the Rfam family "Bacterial small subunit ribosomal RNA", at positions 524 to 776 of the family's 1533-position model. The record is from RNAcentral.